GGCGCAGUGGCUCAUGCCUGUAAUCUCAGCACUUUGGGAGGCCAAGGCGGGUGGAUCACCUGAGGUUGGGAGUUCAAGACCAGCCUGACCAACAUGGAGAAACUCCGUCUCUACUAAAAAAAUACAAAAUUAGCCGGGCAUGGUGGCGCAUGCCUGUAAUCCCAGCUACUCGGGAGGCUGAGGCAGGAUAACCUCCGGUGAGCCAAGAUUGCACCAUUGCACUCCAGCCUGGGCAACAAGAGCAAAACUCCAUCUAAAAAAAAAA
RNAcentral lists this long non-coding RNA (265 nucleotides) under Homo sapiens (human). RNAcentral describes it as "HSALNT0388695". Lineage: Eukaryota; Metazoa; Chordata; Mammalia; Primates; Hominidae. The record is from RNAcentral.